This is a long non-coding RNA of Erinaceus europaeus (western European hedgehog), 699 nucleotides long. RefSeq lists it as uncharacterized. The transcript is spliced from 4 exons. The record is from RefSeq and is a predicted model, not a curated record. Lineage: Eukaryota; Metazoa; Chordata; Mammalia; Eulipotyphla; Erinaceidae.
GUUUCCAUGGAUCCCGCUCCCAUUUCCCUCUGAUGAUUAAUGGGGAGCAUCCAAUAUGGAGGCACUUAUGCCAAGAUGCCUGUAGCUAUCUUGUCAGCUAGCAAGCCUGCAGCCUCCUGGACCAGCAGACGAGCCUGUGAGCAUCAGCACAUAUUAGAGAUGGAGGCAGGACUGACUGUACACAGAGAGAGACCACAGUACCAAACUUUCCUCCAGUGAAGUGGAGGCUAGGAUCAAACCUGGGUCAGGCGCAUGGCAAAACAGCACACUAUUCAAGAAAUUGAGAAACAGAGUUGAAUAAGACCUGGUCUUCAUGCCACCCAGCCAUCACCCAGGAAGUUUGCAGCCUAAGAAGACAGAAGUAGCCCUCCAAGAGGAACUCACAGCAAGUUGAAGAUGCUACCAUGACGCCAACCUGACUUCACUGGAUAGUCAACCUCACCAAUGUGCCCUGGAAUUCCACUUCCCCAGAUCCCUGCCCCAUUAGGGAGAGAAAGACAGGCUAGGAAUAUGGAUUGACCUGUCAAUGCCCAUGUUCAACGGAGAAGCAAUUACAGAAACCAGACCUCCCACCUUCUAUACCCCAUAAUGAUCCUGGGUCCAUACUCCUAGAGGGAUAAAGAAUAGGAAAGCUUCCAGUAGAAGGGAUGGGAUAUGGAACUCUGGUGGUGGAAAUUGUGUGGAAUUAUAUCCCUCUUA